Molecule: ribosomal RNA, 497 nt
Filed under: uncultured bacterium
Lineage: Bacteria
Description: partial 16S ribosomal RNA
Rfam family: Bacterial small subunit ribosomal RNA
Source: RNAcentral
GAUGAACGCUGGCGGCGUGCCUAAUACAUGCAAGUCGAGCGAACGGACGAGAAGCUUGCUUCUCUGAUGUUAGCGGCGGACGGGUGAGUAACACGUGGAUAACCUACCUAUAAGACUGGGAUAACUUCGGGAAACCGUAGCUAAUACCGGAUAAUAUUUUGAACCGCAUGGUUCAAAAGUGAAAGACGGUCUUGCUGUCACUUAUAGAUGGAUCCGCGCUGCAUUAGCUAGUUGGUAAGGUAACGGCUUACCAAGGCAACGAUGCAUAGCCGACCUGAGAGGGUGAUCGGCCACACUGGAACUGAAACACGGUCCAGACUCCUACGGGAGGCAGCAGUAGGGAAUCUUCCGCAAUGGGCGAAAGCCUGACGGAGCAACGCCGCGUGAGUGAUGAAGGUCUUCGGAUCGUAAAACCCUGUUAUUAGGGAAGAACAUAUGUGUAAGUAACUGUGCACAUCUUGACGGUACCUAAUCAGAAAGCCACGGCUAACUACGUG